UGCCUUUCCAUUCACACAAGUAUCAGCGGAAGCUGAUUUUAACGUUGACAGAUGGGGUGGUCAAGAGCAUCAAGUCUACCAAUUUGCGGAGCGGCACCUCCCGGGCAAUAUACCAGUGCGUGAGGUGAUCAGGCCUCGGAUAGGGGAAGACGAUGCCAUCGGUGCCCCUCGGUCAGAACCACCAUACUACUUCCUUCCCUUGUUCCAGCACUCUGCGGUUCCCGUCGUCGAUAGGGACUUGUUCAGACCAGUCACCGAGAAAAUACGUUUCCCCAGUAUCUUGACCAACCUCUUGCUUCCGCCACAAAAUAGUCCAGAGCGCAACCACUUCUCUCCCGUGCGUAAUCCGCGUGGAGUGAGGUGUGGUGCGGGUACAACCAGAUCUCCGUGCGCAUCAACAGAGGUCGGCUCAGGUUUAGGUGUCUGGCCUCCAUGCUAUUCCUGGGCACUUGCCCCGUCACCCCACUUUUCUUUUACUUCCAUUAUGACCUGAAUGACGGUGGCAGUACUCAAACGACCAUGAAUGGCCAGCUGGUGUACUCCAGCUCACUUCACUUUUCUCCAGAACCACAAGGGCCAAUGAUAAGAGCCAUACAUCUCAACCUCCCCAUUCAGUGCAUAUAUAACCGAUUCCACUACUCCUACAAAGUUGGCUAUGUACCUGAGGUGCAUGACCGCACUCUCUUGAAGAGUAUGAAUGGCAAACGCAUCUUUAGGCUCACUGCAUGCAAUGAGAGAUGGGAACAAUUGUCGUCAGAAGAGAGCUACAUGCUUGGGGAGCCAAUGUACUUCAAAGCCUACGCAGCUUUUGUCCCCAGAGAUGGGUGUGUUUGAUGAUUCCUGCUUUGUUACGACAUCCAAGGACCCACAUAACAAACCCCGCCAUGAAGUAAUUCACAACUUUGGGUGGGAGGAGCUGUAUGGCCCUCCCUCUGUGUGCUCCUGCUGUGAUUAUGUCUGUGACUUGCCAGAGUUUUUGCCAGCCUUGAAGUAUCCUUCAGUGAAAAGCCUGAUCACCAGUGAACCCUGGAGAGUUGGAGGAAAGGGAGAAGAGUUUACCCAUUCAGGCUGAGGAGAGACAGCGAGGAAAGGGUGGAGGAGACCUUGGUAGUCACUUAUAAAGAGGAGGAGAAGGUGAAGUUUAAAAGUUUGGCAGUCACUCCUUGGGAGGAGGAGAAAAACAUGUCAGUUGCUGUUAUGAAUAAGGUAGAGGGUGUGCAGUAAGGGAUAGAAGUGAGAGAGGGGGUGGUAGCCAGAAAAGAAGGGGGUGUGGAAGAGCCGAUUGGGGACAAACUGGGCUGAGAAGGAGGUGGUGGAGGCUGAAGAGAACGGCACAGGCCAAGUGACAGCAAGUGUAACUUUGGAACAUGUACCUGAGGGUACAGAGGUGGAGGUAAAGAUUGGCAAUAUAUUGAGGACAAUACUGUGGUUAAGGAGGUAGCUCAGUGGAACAUGUUGAGUGUUGUCACCACAAAUGCUAAGGUGUCAAAGAAAGUUAAGGAGCAGGUUGCUGGGAUAGAAGGAUCAAAGGUUGAGAGGGUGGCGGUUGGACAGAUGCCUUUGGUGGACGACGCAGCAGCGUUUCUGCAGGGGUUAAUGGAGCCUGCCGAGUGGAGAGAAGAUUACCGAGGAGCUGGGGAGGUUUUGGAAACCAUCCACAAAGGACAAGCUUGCUGUGCUGGAAACUUCUGUCCCUAUUGGAACAUUGACAUAAAUUAACUUAAAUAUUUGAUAAGAAUUACACUUAAGUGUCCUUGUAGGAUUGAAUAUUAAAUUACUCUUGUCAUAAGCUCUGAACGUUUUUAUGGUAGCUGGACAUUUGAGGGAUUUAUUUUUGUGUGGGUGUACAGUGGCUUGCGAAAGUAU
Long non-coding RNA from Oncorhynchus tshawytscha (Chinook salmon), 1866 nucleotides. RefSeq lists it as uncharacterized. NCBI's taxonomy places the organism in Eukaryota, Metazoa, Chordata, Actinopteri, Salmoniformes, Salmonidae. The transcript is spliced from 7 exons. The record is from RefSeq and is a predicted model, not a curated record.